GGAACCCAAUCCUCCAGAGGUAGACGCCGCUGCCGUUCUGCCCUCGUCAUCCGUUUGACUUGAAAUGCUGGUUCACAGAAUUAACGCAUAACCGCGAGUCACGCAGAGGCGCGCGGCCGCGCGGGGAGCUGUCAGCUUCGCCAGUCUCAGCAGCCUGUCAACCCCCCACCCUUCCCUCCCGCGCUCUCCCGCUGUCGGCCCAAAAAGAAUGGGGCCGGGGAAGAGAGAAGAUGGAGGGGAGCGAGGUGGUGCGGCCGUUUGCUCCCGUCUCGACCACGGGUAUUCUUGGGUUGAUAAUACAGAUGUCGAUGUUAUUGCUUGAGAAUACGCGUAGCUGAGCGGAAGCCAUCACCAACGGACAAUAACGGACAGCAGAACCAGAGGGAGCACGAGCGUGGCGGGAGAGGCGGCGGCGGCGGGAGAGGGCGACGGCGGUCCUCUCCUCGAGUCCCCGCUUGUUGUCCACCAGAAUCCGCCCCGGCAUCGUCUCGGCCCUCUGCAGGAAGGAAGCGUGUAAUGGAUCGAUUCACCCGUCCAGUCCUUCUCAGAGCUGGAAUUUUGGUAAGUGUACCAAUAAAAAAAACAUUCUGCCAACAAUACUUCUUAUUUUUGUGACGUACUCCCCCACGUUUCUGGUAUUCUGCAGGGUGGUCGAAAUUGUCAAUUUCCCAUCCGUGGUGUAGUUUGCGGGGCACUGGAUCAUAUUAGUGUUAUUGUAAUGGGGUGUAAUACGAUUAUUCAAAUCCCUCUAUUUCUGGGGCUCAUCCAUGUAAAAGGGCCCUUUGACAGAAAACUGUGUGUGUGCUAAACCCUGGAAAUUCCCAGCCAAGAGGAUUCUCCACGCCAC
Long non-coding RNA from Gasterosteus aculeatus aculeatus (three-spined stickleback), 847 nucleotides. The record is from Ensembl. NCBI's taxonomy places the organism in Eukaryota, Metazoa, Chordata, Actinopteri, Perciformes, Gasterosteidae.